Molecule: ribosomal RNA, 253 nt
Filed under: uncultured bacterium
Lineage: Bacteria
Description: partial 16S ribosomal RNA
Rfam family: Bacterial small subunit ribosomal RNA
Source: RNAcentral
UACGUAGGGUGCAAGCGUUGUCCGGAAUUAUUGGGCGUAAAGAGCUCGUAGGCGGUCUGUCGCGUCUGCUGUGAAAACUCAGGGCUUAACCCUGAGCUUGCAGUGGGUACGGGCAGACUAGAGUGCGGUAGGGGAGACUGGAAUUCCUGGUGUAGCGGUGAAAUGCGCAGAUAUCAGGAGGAACACCGGUGGCGAAGGCGGCUAUCUGGACAGAAACUGACGCUGAGGCGCGAAAGCUAGGGGAGCAAACAGG